Nasonia vitripennis (jewel wasp) is the source of this 1218-nucleotide RNA transcript. RefSeq lists it as uncharacterized. The transcript is spliced from 5 exons. NCBI's taxonomy places the organism in Eukaryota, Metazoa, Arthropoda, Insecta, Hymenoptera, Pteromalidae. The record is from RefSeq and is a predicted model, not a curated record.
AGGUUAUCUCUGGUUUGCGAAAAAGAGCGACUAUUACGCGUAGCCGCGCUGAAAAAUGAAGACGGCUGCUCGCUCGUAGUAUGACGAGGAGAGAUGAUCACUUCUGCUGGCACUCGAGCAACAGCUACUACUGCGAGGAGCAGAGAAAGUUGCGGGAGACUUAUUGGAAAAUCGUCAGGAAUUACGAUAGAAACCCGGAGAGUUUGUCGUCGUCCCACGAUGGCCAACUUAGCAACGACGCCUCGUCGACGGAUCGACGUCGACGAGGCAUUGUCGAGCAGAACAGAGACUCGCCGGUCUCGCCUUGUCUCAAAACGCUUGGAAGUAUAGAAGAGCGGAGUUAAAAAGCGGGUCAACUUCUACAAAGAGAAAGCCGAAACGACGAGCCAGUCGUCGUCGAGCUACUACCGACUACCGCGGAAUACUAAUCACAGCUCGCCUCGUCAUAGCAGUACUGCCAACAGCGAGUACGACUCGUAUAACUCCAUCAGCACCGACCUCUACGACCUGCACUGCAGCGGUCCGGGUCAUCCACGCGCACACGGCUCUCCCUCCCGAAAAUCCAGCAAAACAGACGACAGCGGUAACGAGGAGCGUCGUCUGCUCGAGCGAUUAAGCGGGCUGUCGUUGCACUCGCCGAGUAGGAGCAGCCUCACUUGUUGCUCGUCGCGGAAAAAGCCUGAGCCGAGUCAGCCGAGGCUCUACAGGCCGAAGGACUGCCUGAAACGAGCGGCCGUUAGGCGUAUGCUCGUCUACCCGCCAGAGGGCCAGACCGGCCCGCCGCUCACUCUCCGAAGGAGCUGUUCCAACAUCGAUUGCCGCGUCACCGGUGACCCCGACAACGGUUACAGGUACAAGGUCUACUACCUGCAGAAAUUCGAGAGCGACAGCUGGUUCCCAGCAGACGACAAGACCGGCAGUCCGUUCCAUCGCCUCGAGGAGGACUGCUCGACGGAUUACGGUUGAAGUUUUACCCUCUCGCGGGGGCGAAUAAUCGUAAACGCCGCCGUCUCGAUCCGCUUUAGGAGCGCGGGAAUUAAACUGCUCGACUGCUCGGAUUGAUUGCGUUAAUAACUCGGCCUUGAGUCCCUCUCGCUCUGUAUCGUCCCGCGAGUAAGUGCCUAUGGUGGAUUAAAUUAGAGGCGAGGAUCUCGUAAGCCCCGUUUAAAAUUUGCGGAACCGAUGCGACGCGAAUAAAGGAAAACACUAUAUACUAAA